This 301-nucleotide ribosomal RNA is filed under the name uncultured bacterium. RNAcentral describes it as "partial 16S ribosomal RNA". It matches the Rfam family "Bacterial small subunit ribosomal RNA", at positions 509 to 807 of the family's 1533-position model. The record is from RNAcentral.
CAGCCGCCACGGUAAUACGAAGGGUGCAAGCGUUACUCGGAAUUACUGGGCGUAAAGCGUGCGUAGGUGGUGGUUUAAGUCCGUUGUGAAAGCCCUGGGCUCAACCUGGGAAUUGCAGUGGAUACUGGAUCACUAGAGUGUGGUAGAGGAUAGUGGAAUUUCCGGUGUAGCAGUGAAAUGCGUAGAGAUGUGGAGGAACACCAGUGGCGAAGGCGACUCUCUGGUCUGUAACUGACGCUGAGGAGCGAAAGCGUGGGGAGCGAACAGGAUUAGAUACCCGAGUAGUCCCUGUCUCUUAUAC